GGUUAAGGUAACUUUUCUUUUCUUUCUUUUUUAAAGAUUCGCCCUGAACUAACAUCUGUUGCCAAUCUUUUUUCUUCUUCUUCUUCUUCUUCUCCCCAAAGCCCCCCCAGUACAUAGUUGUAUAUUCUAGUUGUAGGUCCUUCUGGUUGUGCUAUGUGGGACGCCGCCUCAGCACGGCUUGGUGAGCGGUGCUAGGUCUGCACCCAGGAUCCCUGCUGGUGAAACCCUGGGCGGCUGGAGCGGAGAGCGGAGAGCGGGAACUUCGCUACUGGGCCUUGGAGAUGGCCCCAAGCAGCUUCUCUCCAUUUCUUCUGAAUCAAUCUCUAAAGUUCUACUGGAAAUACAUUCUCGGGAUCCACUGGAGCUGGGCUUAUGAAAUACCCAGAGGGAUAGCUGAUGGCUCUCAACUCAUCAGAACUCAGGCCUAU
Molecule: long non-coding RNA, 428 nt
Filed under: Equus caballus (horse)
Lineage: Eukaryota; Metazoa; Chordata; Mammalia; Perissodactyla; Equidae
Description: lncRNA (ENSECAG00000028228.3)
Source: RNAcentral